GAGUUUGAUCAUGGCUCAGGACGAACGCUGGCGGCGUGCUUAACACAUGCAAGUCACGGGGGCCCGCAAGGGCAACCGGCGAACGGGUGCGUAACACGUGAGCAACCUGCCUAGAUGUGGGGGAUAGCCGGCCCAACGGCCGGGUAAUACCGCAUACGGUCACGAGGAGGAGUCUCCUUGUGAAGAAACCUCCGGGGCAUUUAGAGGGGCUCGCGGCCUAUCAGCUAGUUGGCGGGGUAAUGGCCCACCAAGGCUUCGACGGGUAGCUGGUCUGAGAGGAUGGCCAGCCACAUUGGGACUGAGAGACGGCCCAGACUCCUACGGGAGGCAGCAGUGGGGAAUCUUGCGCAAUGGCCGAAAGGCUGACGCAGCGACGCCGCGUGUAGGAGGACGCCCUUCGGGGUGUAAACCACUGUUGCCCGGGACGAACAUCUUCUUUCGAGAGGACUGACGGUACCGGGUGAGGAAGCACCGGCUAACUCCGUGCCAGCAGCCGCGGUA
RNAcentral lists this ribosomal RNA (501 nucleotides) under uncultured bacterium. RNAcentral's name for it is "bacterial SSU rRNA". It matches the Rfam family "Bacterial small subunit ribosomal RNA", at positions 9 to 522 of the family's 1533-position model. The record is from RNAcentral.